GUAUUUCUUUAUCUCUCUCUCUCUCUAGGUUGGGUGGAAAAAGAGACCUACUAUUAAUUCAUUGCUUAUAUAGCAACAUUUUCCAUGCAUGGGAGCCUCACUGCUCAGUCCGUUCAACUCUGGAUAUGUUUUUAUACUGAAAACUUAAAAGAAGACUGAUUUCAAAAACACAAGACCUAUUCUUCUGUGUUUGUGUUCUGUAUCACCGCCACCUGAUCAAGUCCUAUGCAGCAACCUCUGAUGUUUGAAUGCUUCAAUGAAAGUGAAUACCCCAAUGUGCCACAAAACCCACUGCGUCAAAUCCUCUAAGAUUGAUCGAAGUCCUAUGCAGCAACCUCUGAUGUUUCAAUGCUUCAAUGAAAGUGAAUACCCCAAUGUGCCACAAAACCCACUGUGUCAAAUGCUCUAAGACAACAAAUAAUCUAAGAAAUUAAGAACUACUGAAGAGCAUUUAUGUGAGGUAGAAUGGGUGGACUUUUGGCCUUGAGCCCCUAGAAAUUUUAUUUUUUUAAUUAGAUUUUUUUUUUUCUUCCCAUCAUUGGACCAUCAUUUUAGAGACCAGGCCAAGGGGACACCCACUUAACACCUGGCUGCAAUAGAUAGAUGGUCAUUUCCAGAGGGGGUUUCUGGACCACCUGUCUACCUGGGGUCUUACCAACCAGGAUCCCGAGCUGUGUUGUCGUUUUGGGUGUGGCCACUUGUUGUACCAGUGCAUGCUCCCCAACCUGACCUGACCUGCUGAUCUGACAUCUUAUAAAGCACAUUUAGCUACAGCGUUGGUAUGAAAAAUGUGUUGUAGAAAUAAAUGUUGUUGUUGUUGACUCUGCUGCAUGUGUGGUGCCUGGAUUGGGCCCACCCACAUGGCUUGUUGGCCCACCAUGUUUUGUAACUUAGCUUUUUAUUAUUUAUUUAUUUUUAAAUAAAAAUAAAUUUUACUCA
Molecule: long non-coding RNA, 939 nt
Organism: Polypterus senegalus (gray bichir)
Lineage: Eukaryota; Metazoa; Chordata; Cladistia; Polypteriformes; Polypteridae
Exons: 2
Source: RefSeq, a predicted model, not a curated record